AUAAUGACAGUAGAGAGAAAACGGGAAAAUUAAAAUAAAAUAUUUUUAUUAAAAAAUCAAAAUUAUAAAUUUUAAGUAAAAAAUCACUAUCUGCAGCAUUGAAAAAUUAAGAUAGAUAUUAAAAGUAAACUGGUGUAAAUAAAUAUCAAUCCUAAGUACACUGUUAUUCAAUUUAUUUUUAAAAAAUGCCUAAUCCAAUAUUUGAAGAGCCCAACUGUCGAGAAAAUCCAUGCUACCCGUGCUGUUGUGCUUCUGGUCCAAGAUGUUUCCCAUGUGGUAUGGAUGCAGUGACGCUGCGGCGCCCUCUCAUAGUCGGCGACAGUACCUUCGAAUAUCGAGCCACGAAUGAUCCAAGCAUGAUCCGCAACCGGCAAAACAAGAAAGUUCGAUACGUACUUGUUAAUUUUACUCAAAAAGUUUCCCCGCCGCCCCCAACGUGUCCUUCAUGUGCUCCGCGUUACAUGCACUUCUAAUGUUUUCGAGUCCUCCAAAGAAGUAUUUUUUCAAAAAAGAAGGUUAUCUAAAUUAUUUUGGUAAAAGUUAACCUUGCUUGAAGUAAGAAAAAAUGUGCGAUCGUAUGCGAGUAAUCAACCAGCUUCAAAAUGUUAUGUCUGCUAUCCAGGGAUGCGACAGCUGCUGCCAACCGCCUCCUUGCUGCAACGCCUGUUGCGGCCGCCCCUGCUGCCCCCCCUGCUGUCCCCCCCGCUGCCCCGGCUCGCUCGUCACAGUAUACAGUCAAGUAGCCCAUAUCCAGUGACAGGCACUGCGCUGAUCAAAUGCCAUCCUGGCGAUCGGUCAGCCUCCAGUACCGGUAGCAGCCUUCGACAAAGCAACCAUUGCGAUAGGAUGCCAUCAUUGUAAACAUUAGUCUAGCCGGUGUAUUGUGGUUCAAGUGAAGUGAAGUAAAUUAUUGUCAAGUGGUGUAACGUUAUUUAAAAAUAGGAAUAAAUUAUUAAUAAGUUA
This is a non-coding RNA of Plutella xylostella (diamondback moth), 963 nucleotides long. NCBI's taxonomy places the organism in Eukaryota, Metazoa, Arthropoda, Insecta, Lepidoptera, Plutellidae. The record is from RefSeq and is a predicted model, not a curated record.